CCGCCAGAAAAUUACGAGCGAAAAGCUUAAAACUCAAAGGACUUGGCGGUGCUCCACACCAACUUAGAGGAGCCUGUCCUAUAAUCGAUACUCCACGAUAAACCCCUCCAAUUUUUGCCAAAUCAGCCUAUAUACCGCCGUCGCCAACUUACCCCAUGAGGAUAAAUAGUAAGUAUAAUAGUUUAACUACUAAANCUUNNNNUUCNACGNNUAGCUAAUAAAUUGGAA
RNAcentral lists this ribosomal RNA (228 nucleotides) under Sceloporus variabilis. Its description in RNAcentral is "partial 12S ribosomal RNA". Lineage: Eukaryota; Metazoa; Chordata; Lepidosauria; Squamata; Phrynosomatidae. The record is from RNAcentral.